UUUUCAUUUCCAAAAUAGUAUACUUUUAUUCAAAUGUAAAUUUACAAAGCCCCCCCCCUGAGAUUCCUCCUAAUUACAGAUGGCCCCCACUUUUUUGAGCCUUAUAAAAACUCACACUCCCACACUUGGAGGAGCCCAAGAGCCAAGCAAAUCAAGCAAACCACCAACCCACUCAGCUCAGCUCCAGAUCCACGCGCGGCAAUGGCGCACCAGAUCGCGCUGGUCGUGCUCCUCCUCGUCUCGCCGGCGGCAAUGCGCGCGGCCGCGGCGGCCGGGGCN
Molecule: long non-coding RNA, 279 nt
Filed under: Oryza brachyantha (malo sina)
Lineage: Eukaryota; Viridiplantae; Streptophyta; Magnoliopsida; Poales; Poaceae
Description: long non-coding RNA (OBRA_LNC002366)
Source: RNAcentral